RNAcentral lists this ribosomal RNA (990 nucleotides) under bacterium enrichment culture clone bHCH6_H10. RNAcentral describes it as "bacterial SSU rRNA". It matches the Rfam family "Bacterial small subunit ribosomal RNA", at positions 44 to 1022 of the family's 1533-position model. The record is from RNAcentral.
GGGCCCUAACACAUGCAAGUCGAGCGGAUGAAGAGAGCUUGCUUUCUGAUUCAGCGGCGGACGGGUGAGUAAUGCCUAGGAAUCUGCCUGAUAGUGGGGGACAACGUUUCGAAAGGAACGCUAAUACCGCAUACGUCCUACGGGAGAAAGCAGGGGACCUUCGGGCCUUGCGCUAUCAGAUGAGCCUAGGUCGGAUUAGCUAGUUGGUGAGGUAACGGCUCACCAAGGCGACGAUCCGUAACUGGUCUGAGAGGAUGAUCAGUCACACUGGAACUGAGACACGGCCCAGACUCCUACGGGAGGCAGCAGUGGGGAGUAUUGGACAAUGGGCGAAAGCCUGAUCCAGCCAUGCCGCGUGUGUGAAGAAGGUCUUCGGAUUGUAAAGCACUUUAAGUUGGGAGGAAGGGCAUUAACCUAAUACGUUAGUGUUUUGACGUUACCGACAGAAUAAGCACCGGCUAACUUCGUGCCAGCAGCCGUGGUAAUACGAAGGGUGCAAGCGUUAAUCGGAAUUACUGGGCGUAAAGCGCGCGUAGGUGGUUUGUUAAGUUGAAUGUGAAAGCCCCGGGCUCAACCUGGGAACUGCAUCCAAAACUGGCAAGCUAGAGUAUGGCAGAGGGUGGUGGAAUUUCCUGUGUAGCGGUGAAAUGCGUAGAUAUAGGAAGGAACACCAGUGGCGAAGGCGACCACCUGGGCUAAUACCGACACUGAGGUGCGAAAGCGUGGGGAGCAAACAGGAUUAGAUACCCUGGUAGUCCACGCCCGUAAACGAUGUCGACUAGUNGUUGGGAUCCUUGAGAUCUUUAGUGGCGCACCUAACGCAUUAAGUCGACCGCCUGGGGAGUACGGCCGCAAGGUUAAAACUCAAAUGAAUUGACGGGCGCCCGCACAAGCGGUGGAGCCUUGUGGUUUAUUUCGAAGCAACGCGAAGAACCCUUACCAGGCCUUGACAUGCAAAAAACCUUCCCAGAGAUGGGAUUGGUGCCUUUC